UUCUCUUGAUUUUCCUUUGUCUUCCUCUUGUUUUCCUUCUUCGGCCGAGAGAAAUUUUGGAAAACAAAAAUUCGUCGGCGAGCUUCUUCGGCGAAUCAUCGCUUCUAUCCUCUUCCUCUCAUUCCCCUGAGCUUGGUGGUGAAGCAUCCUCCAAGGGGAAGGAAACCGCCAAUCAGUGUGAGCGUCUCCACGCGAGGGAACAUGUUCUGUUUUAGUGGUUUUGGUCAUCAUAGCGAGUGAAGUGCUUGGCAAUUUGU
Dioscorea cayenensis subsp. rotundata (Guinea yam) is the source of this 257-nucleotide long non-coding RNA. RefSeq lists it as uncharacterized. The record is from RefSeq and is a predicted model, not a curated record. Lineage: Eukaryota; Viridiplantae; Streptophyta; Magnoliopsida; Dioscoreales; Dioscoreaceae. The transcript is spliced from 3 exons.